UUUAAAGGAUAACAGCCAUCCACUGGCCUUAGGAGCCACCUAUCUUGGUGCAAAUCCAAGUAAAAGUAAUG
RNAcentral lists this transfer RNA (71 nucleotides) under Varanus salvator (water monitor). RNAcentral describes it as "partial tRNA-Leu". It matches the Rfam family "tRNA". Rfam says of the family: Transfer RNA (tRNA) molecules are approximately 80 nucleotides in length. The record is from RNAcentral. Lineage: Eukaryota; Metazoa; Chordata; Lepidosauria; Squamata; Varanidae.